CUUUGUUCUGUGGAUGACAAGCCUGGCCUGAACAAAAUGAUGUUGGAUAUGCUGGAGAAAAGACAGAAGGAUGACCAGGCUAAAUAUGGGCGUGUUGCACUCAUGUUAGAUUCCAUGGCCAUAAGAAAACAUGUGCAAUAUAAUCCGCACAACCAGUCAAUGUCUGGCUUUGUAGACAUUGGUGAUGGAAACAAUGAGACUGAUGUUGCUACUGAGGCGCUUGUGUUCCUGGUGGUUGGCCUUCAAGGACAUUGGAAGGCUCCCAUUGCAUAUUACCUGACGAAGACUCUGUCUCCAGACACACAAAGGGUCCUUCUCACUCAUGCAUUGGAGGAGCUGCAUGCACGGGGUAUUCAGGUGGUAUGUGUCACAAUGGAUGGCCAUGCUACAAACAUCAGCAUGUGCAAUCAACUUGGUUGUGAGCUGAGGGGUAACCCACAAGAGCCACUUAAAACCAGUUUCCCACAUCCGUCGACUGGUGACCAAGUAUUCAUAAUGAUGGACGCAUGCCACAUGCUGUAGUUGGCACGUAAUAUGUUGCAGGUAAAUUAUAAAUGUUGUAUACCUAUUUGUACAAGUUAUGUCUCUGCUACUAAAAGUUGCACAUUUAUUACUGGAUGUGAAGAUCAACAUUGUGCUGUUUGUACUUGUUUGAGCAGUGACCAAUUCUUUCUCUGCAGUCAUACAGUCCGAUUGCAUCUACCAGUGGACAAAUAAAUUGGAGGUACAUCAAUCAGCUCAAUGAUGUGCAAAAAAAAGAUGGACUGCAUGCCACAAAUAAAAUUACAGACAAGCAUGUCCACUUUGAG
Molecule: long non-coding RNA, 809 nt
Filed under: Xyrichtys novacula (pearly razorfish)
Lineage: Eukaryota; Metazoa; Chordata; Actinopteri; Labriformes; Labridae
Source: RNAcentral